CAUGGACACAACACCUUUAUUUCAUUUAUUUAAAUCUACGUGGUGCUGAGGAUCCAACCCAGUGCUCACACAUGCCAGGUGAGCACUCUGCCACUGAGCCACAACCCCAGCCCAAUGUAUUCUUUUUUUUUUUUUUUCAUUGUAGAUGGACACAGUACCUUUGAUUUAUUUUUACGUGGUGCUAAGGAUCGAAUCUUGUGCCUCACAAGUGCUAGGCAAGGGCUCUACUACUAAGCUACAACCCCAGCCCUCAACUGUAUUCUUUUAUUUUUUUUUCCUCUUAAUUUAAAAAAAUUUUUUUAGCUGUAGAUGGACACAAUACCUUUAUUUUAUUUGUUUAUUUUUAUGUGGUGCCAGGGAUCGAACCCAGUGCCUCACGAAUGGUAGGCAAGCAGUCUACCACUGAGCCACAGCCCCAUCCCCUAAACUAUAUUCCUUAGCAACCUUAACAUGGCAACUCUUGGUCCUGGGCAUUUCCAUAUGUAUUUCAAGAACCAAUUGGUUGAUUUACCCAAAUAAAACUGAAUUUCCCUGGAUUUUCCUUGAGUCUAUAAAUAUAGGGUGAAUUAACAAAUACCAGACAUAUAAAAAACUGCUAUAACUCAACAAUUAAAAAAUAAAUAAAUAAAUAAUGGGCAAAAGAUUCAAAUAGCCAUUUUUCCAGAUAGAAAAAUGACUGAUAAGCCUAUGAAAAGAUGAUCAAUUAUAUUAGUCAGUAGGCAAAUAUGAUAUUACUUCAUAUCUACUAGAAUGGCUAGAAUCAAAAAGACAAAUAAUAACAAGUAUGUUGAAGAUAUGAAGAAAUUAGAACCCUCAUACAUUGCUGGUAGAAUUUAAAAUGGUAUAACCACUAUAGAAAACAGUUUGGCUGUCUUCAAAAAGCUAAGCAUGGAGUUACCACAUGAGUUAACAAUUCUACUCCUAGGUAUGCAAGAGAAUUGAAAACUUGUGUUCACAUGGGAAAUUCUAUAGAGAUAGAUGAUUAAUAAUUGCUUGGGUGUGGAGGGUGUGAGAUAAGAAUUGGAAAAGAUUGCUAAUGGGUUCAGAGUUUCUUUUUUAGGUGAUUAAAAUGUUCUAAAAUUAGAUUAUAGGAAUGUUUGCACACCUGUGAAUAUUUUAAAAAUUAGUGAAUAUUUUAAAUGGGAGCAUUUUACAUUAAUUAUAUUUCAGUAAAACUUUUUUGACAGGGUAAAAAGCCUUUCCACUAAAAUUUACAUAACAUUAGUGAGAGUAACUUAAUAAAGACCUAAAAAAAUGCAGAGACAUGGGGCUGGGGUUGUGGCUCAGUGGUAGAGUGCUUGCCUCACAUGGGUGAGGCACUGGGUUCAAUCCUCAGUACCACAUAAAAAUACAUAAAUAAAAUAAAGGUAUUGUGGCCAUCUACAGCUAAAAAUAUUUAAAAAAAAAAAAAAAGAAAGUAGAAGUAAUGCAGGGACGUGCACAUUUGUAAAUUGGAAAAGUUGGUAUUUGCUAAGAUGUCCUUUAUAUUUUCAUAUGAAUUUUAGGAUCAAUUCAUCUAUCUCUGCCAGAAAGCUAGCUUGAGUUUUCAUUGGGAUGAUGUUCAAUCUGCAGAUCAAUUUUGGGAGAAUCACUAUCUUUUUUAUUUAAUAUUUUCUUAGUUGUCAGUGGACUUUAUUUAUUUUUAUGUAGUGCUGAGAAUCGAACCCAGUGCCUCACACAUGCUAGGCAAGUGCUCUACCACUGAGCCACAACUCCAACCCAUAGAAUCACUAUCCUGAGUCUGUUUUCUGUUGGUAUAAGAGAAUAACAUGAGCCCUCAUGAGUGCAAUUAGCACCCUUACCAAAGAAACCCAAGAGAAACCCUUCAUGCUUCCACUCUCUAGGACACACCAAGAAGGCAUCACCUGUGAGGAAGCAGGCCUUCAUCAGACAUGAAUCUGCCAACACCUUGAUUUUGGACCUUCCAGUCUCCAGAACUGUGAGAAAUGAAUUACUGUUGUUGAUACCCCAAAGAGUUUGUGGUAUUUUGUUACAGUAGCCCAAACAGACUAAGACAAUGUCCUUUAUUAGGUUGAGGACCUUUUUCUCCAUUCCAACUUUGUUGAGUAUUUUUAUCAUGAAGAGGAUGUUGGAUAUUGUUAAAUGUGUUUUCUGUGUCUUUGAGUUAAUCAAGUUGAUUUUCUCUUUAUUCUGUUCAUGUGGUGUGUUACAUUGAUUUUUGCAUGUUAAUCCAAAUUUGCAUUCUUGGGUCUCCACUUGUUAUUCAUCGUAUAUAGUCUGUUUUGUGUUGCUAUAAGAAAUACUAGAGGCUGGGGACUUUUUUAUAAAGAGGUUUAUCUGAGUUUGGUAAAUCUGGUGGCUGGAGUGUCUAAACAGUAUGGUGCUGGCAUCCUGGCAAGGGCCUUCUGGCUGUCUCAUACAGUGGUGGAGAAACAGCAAGAAAUGGAAGGAAGUGAUGACACUAUGAGGUAGGAAACUAGAGGGAUUCAGGGAUCAGGCUUGCUGUUUUUAAAACAAUGUAUUUUCCUCUUGGGUCCUUUGAGAACUACAUUAAUCUCUUCUGACUUUAGCACCCCCAGUGACCUAACCACCUUCCACAGGUCCUAGCUCUCCCAACUCAACACCACCACACUAGGGACCAAGCUUCCCAGCACAUGAAAAUGAGACAAACGAUGUCCAAAUCAUAACACAUAGUAUAUAAACUUUAUUUGUUGUUUGAUUCAGUUUUGUGAGGAUUUUGUGCCUCUUAUUUUUUGUGUUUUUCUUGCUAUAAGUACUUUUAUUUUAAAUUUUUACUCUUUUCCUUUCAUUUAUCAGAGAUUGAACCCAGGGGUGCUUAAACACUAAGCCACAUCCCCAGCUCUUUUUUAUGUUUUUAUUUAGAGACAGGGUCUUGCUUAAGUUGUUUAGGGUCUCAAUAAGUUGCUGAGGGCUGGCUUUGAUCUUCAAUCCUCCUGCCUCAGCCUCCCAAGAUGCUGGGGGAUUACAGGCAUGCGCCACUACACUCAGCUUAAAUUUUACUUUUUAAUUACUUGCAAUUAACACAUAGAAAUAUAAUUUAUGUUUUAUAUUUGCAUCCAGUGAUCAUGCUAAAUUUAUUCAAAUAAUUUUAGAAUUCUUUUGGUUUUUCUGCAUAUACAAACCAUGUCAUCUGCAAAUAUUUCUAUACAUCAUCUUUUUCAACCUCUACAUUUUUCCUUUCUCCUAUCUUACUGCACUGGUUUGGGCCUCCAGUAUAAUCUCGAAUAUAAGUAGUUAUAGAAGAUACCCUUGUUUCAUUCCCUUGAGUAACCCAUCAAGUAUGUUACCUGAAGGUUAUUUUAAAAUGCUCUUUAUUAGGUUGAGUCAAUUUCCUUCUACACUACUUUUAUUGAGAGUUUUUAUGAUGAUAAAUACUGGAUUUUUCAAAUGUACUGCUGUCAAGUAUGACAUGAUCAUACUUUCCUCCUUUAUUUUGUUAAAGUGGUAAAUUACAUUGGUUUUUGAAUGUUAAACAAUUUUACAUUCCUGGAGUAAACUCCACUUGGUCAGCACUUAUUUUAUUACUUGCUGAAUUUGGUUAGCUCUAUUGUUUAAGAUUUUACAUCUAUGAGAGAGAUUAGCCUGAAAUGUCCAAGGUUAGUUUAAAGACAUUUUUGGCAUCAUAAAGUUGGUUUUUCUGUUUGUAAAAAUUUGUAUUUGGUAUUUUUAAUUCCCUCAAACAUUUGGAAGAAUUAAUGAAUGAAAAUACGUAGGCCUGCUUGAAUCAUAGAGGUUAAUUUUUUUAAAGUAAUUUUUUUGUAGUAAAGUGAUAUGCUGUGUAUGUGUGUUGCUAGAGAUCAAACCUAAGGAUCUUGCACGUGCUGGGUAAGUGCUCUGCCACUGGGCCUCAUCUCCAGCCCUGGUCGUCUGUUUUUAUGCCUAUCUUACUUUCCUGCAGUCACAUUCUUUAUGUGUGUGUUGGAGGGGAAGGGACAGGCAGCCUAGGGAUUUAACCCAGAGGCACUUUACCACUGAGCUACAUCCUCAGCACUUUUUAUUUUUUCAUUUGAGACAGGGUGUCACUAUGUUGUUUAUGACCUGAGUUACUGAAGCUGGCCUUGAACUUGUCACCCUCCUGUCUCAGCCUCCCAAGCUGUGGGGAUUACACAUGUGUGCCACUCUGCUAGCUCGCAAUCACCUUCUGCCCGGAGAGGUGAAAAAUGAACUCACCUUUCUAUGCCUCCUUAAUAACAAAGUUGAACUAAGUAACAUUGUCACUGAUCAUCCUUCCAGGAGUUGUUUUAAACCUUGCUUCUAUCCAGUGAUCUCUACCCUCAGUUUAAGUAAUAUGGAUUUAAAAAUAAUACUAAAGUUUGUUCUCAUUCAUACAUAUAAGUAAAUAAAUUUUCAAUUAAUUUCCUACAAGAGAUUAAAGAGACAUAUCUUAGUCCAUUUAUGCCCUUUUAACAGAAUACCACGGACUGGAUAAUUUGUCAAGAAUAGAAACUUACUGGCUAACUGUUCAAGAGUCCAGGAAGUCCAAUAUCAAGACGCUGGCAGGUUUGGUAAUUCUGAUUCCAAGAUAGAGCCUGUAUUAUGUACUGAGAUGGCCUCAGAUAAAAGAGACAAAAAAGGCGGGGGGCUAAAUUCACUCUUUUAUGAAAGCAUUAAUCCUGGGGCAUUAAUCCCUGUGAGGGCAGAGCCUUCAAGGCCUAAUCAUCUCUCAAAUGUCUGAUUUAUUAAUACUGUUAAAAUGGCAAUUAAAUUUGAAUUUGAGUUUUAGUGGGGACAGACAUUCAAAUGGUAGCAAGAAAGAAGGCCUGGCAGAAGUUAAAAUGAUUUUCUAGAACUAGUUUAUUUGAAUCUCUGCAGAAUUUUGUGGUAGGAAGAUAGAGUUAUGAUGGAAAUGGGUCUUUCCCCAAUAUAAUUAUUGCUCACUUUCCAGACAGAGCACAGCCCACUAUUUCCUCUACAACCUGUAGCCCAAUAUCAGAGCCACCAAUGCCCUCUGCUUCCAUCUAAAAACUGCAACAAUAUUGGCUCAGAGAGAAAAGCACACUAUUUUUAGAGUGGAAAUCUGAAUCCCUUCAGCUGCAGGGCAGAGCAGAAGGCUAGCUGUGGCACAAAGCCAGGAAACUAGACUGACUGGUCUGUCCCAGAGGAAGCUUACAUCACAUUCAUUUAGAAGUUGCUUUGCUUUGCUUUUCCAACCUGAACUGUCCCCAUGGUUUCAUUUUCAUUUUUUCCAGCUAUGUUCAUAUACCAUGAAAUUACUGUGAAAUUUAUAUGUGAC
RNAcentral lists this long non-coding RNA (5215 nucleotides) under Marmota monax (woodchuck). Lineage: Eukaryota; Metazoa; Chordata; Mammalia; Rodentia; Sciuridae. The record is from RNAcentral.